GAUGGCGGCAAAGGCUAAGGCAGAGGAGGUGGGUGGGGCUGGUCUUGCCCAACGGUUGGGAGUGUAGGCUAGACGACGGCGGCUAGACAAAGAGGUAGUGCCAGGGAGGCAGAGACGGGGGCGCAGACACUGUGGGGUCGGGGUCGGGGUCAGCGGUGAGGGCGCCCGGCCUGUCGGGAACCGCGGGGAAUCACCUGGGCCGUCCGGGAAGAAGCCGAACCGGCCCCGCCUCCAGCCUGUCCUCCGCCGGCUGCGGUGGACGGCGCAGAGGAGCGGCAGCCCCCUGCGGCGGCCGAGGAGCUGGCCGCCCAGAAGCGCGAACAGAGACUGCGCAAAUUCCGGGAGCUGCACCUGAAGCGGGUGAGUCGCCCCAGAGGCCAGCUGAGACCUGUCACGUGGCCAGGCCCGUGCGCGUUUGUGGAGCGACGAGGAAGCCGCACCAGCGCGUGUGACAGACCUGCAGAGCUAGAUGAAAGUUCGGUCCCGGUGGUUCUCAACCUGGAAUCACACUGAAGUCACUUUGAGACUUUUUAAAAGCUAGACAUGCUUAGGCCUCACUUCCAGGGUGUCUGAUUUGAUCAGUUUCUAAACACAGACAUUGGUAUUUUUUUAAGCAUCCUCUCCCUGCACCCUCCUCUCAGCUCAAGUGAUUCUGUCAAACCUUUCUUUUCAUGGAGGGGAAGACCGUGGACCAGAAAUGGAAAGUAACUUGUCUGUUGUCACGCAGCAAGUUGGCGUCAUUCAUCCAAAAACAGCCCCUCGCCUAAUGGCCUCUAGUGUGCUGUAGCCAACUAUCAACAGAUGGUGUGGAUACAGCGGUAAAUAUGAAUGAAGCUCGAAAAUUAAAUCACCAGGAAGUUGUGGAGGAAGAUAAAAGACUUAAAUUACCUGCAAAUUGGGAAGCUAAGAAAGCUCAUUUGGAAUGGGAAUUGCAGGAAAAAGAAAAGAAAAAGAAUGUACAGCAAGAGGGGAAGACUAUAAGAAAGUGAAGUUGCUCGAGAUCAGUGCAGAAGAUGCAGAAAAAUGGGAGAGGAAAAAGAGGAGGAAAAACCCCAAUCUGGGAUUUUCAGUGGAGAGGAGUUCUACCCAACAUCUAACAGUCUUCUUCACGGAACACACGUGCCUUCCACAGAGGAAACUGAUAGGAUGGUCGUAGACUUGGAAAAGCAAAUUGAAAAACGAGACAAAUACAGCCGGAGACGUCCUUAUAAUGAUGAUGCAGAUAUUGACUACAUUAAUGAAAGGAAUGCCAAAUUCAACAAGGCAGAAAGAUUCUAUGGGAAAUAUACAGCUGAAAUUAAACAAAACUUGGAAAGAACAGCUGUCUAAUCUCCUUCAGGACCUGUUCUGCCAAAUUGUACCAGUAAAUCAGGACUCUU
Molecule: long non-coding RNA, 1379 nt
Organism: Orcinus orca (killer whale)
Lineage: Eukaryota; Metazoa; Chordata; Mammalia; Artiodactyla; Delphinidae
Exons: 5
Source: RefSeq, a predicted model, not a curated record